Molecule: non-coding RNA, 85 nt
Organism: Sphingobacterium sp. JB170
Lineage: Bacteria; Pseudomonadati; Bacteroidota; Sphingobacteriia; Sphingobacteriales; Sphingobacteriaceae
Source: Rfam
GCAGAAUAAUAAUGCUAUUAUGCUUUAGUCAGAAGUCAGCAGACGACAUAGUACCUUGUUCCUCUACACUAAACAAGGGAAGGUC